GACGAACGCUGGCGGCGUGCUUAACACAUGCAAGUCGAACGGUAAGGCCCUUCGGGGUACACGAGUGGCGAACGGGUGAGUAACACGUGGGUGAUCUGCCCUGCACUUCGGGAUAAGCCUGGGAAGCUGGGUCUAAUACCGGAUAGGACCACUGCCUGCAUGGGUGGUGGUGGAAAGCUUUUGCGGUGUGGGAUGGGCCCGCGGCCUAUCAGCUUGUUGGUGGGGUGAUGGCCUACCAAGGCGACGACGGGUAGCCGGCCUGAGAGGGUGACCGGCCACACUGGGACUGAGAUACGGCCCAGACUCCUACGGGAGGCAGCAGUGGGGAAUAUUGCACAAUGGGCGCAAGCCUGAUGCAGCGACGCCGCGUGAGGGAUGACGGCCUUCGGGUUGUAAACCUCUUUCAGCACCGACGAAGCGCAAGUGACGGUAGGUGCAGAAGAAGGACCGGCCAACUACGUGCCAGCCGCCGAGUAA
Molecule: ribosomal RNA, 477 nt
Filed under: uncultured bacterium
Lineage: Bacteria
Description: partial 16S ribosomal RNA
Rfam family: Bacterial small subunit ribosomal RNA
Source: RNAcentral